Molecule: long non-coding RNA, 1601 nt
Organism: Chenopodium quinoa (quinoa)
Lineage: Eukaryota; Viridiplantae; Streptophyta; Magnoliopsida; Caryophyllales; Amaranthaceae
Exons: 3
Source: RefSeq, a predicted model, not a curated record
UUGAAGUUAAUGAAACUUGUGCCUAUUAUUUUAGCCAAUAGAAACAUGACAAAUGAGAGAUGUAUAUGGGGAUCACAUACAACAAUUGUAUACGUAGCCUUUGCCCACAAACUUCACGCGGGCGGUACAUUAAAAUGUUAGGGAAAAUUUAAAGUAUUUUAUUUCUAAAAUUUCACCUCGGUAAUGUAACCAUAACCAAAUUCAUAAAAAAAAAGGUCCUUCCUUUUGUCUUCUCGAUCCACCAGUGAAAAAAUCAUAUGAGCAAGUACAUUCUUAGGGUUUGUCAUCAUCAAGCAAGCACAAUCUCUUUGUUCAUCGUUAACAUCAAGAUUCCACGCAAAUUAUAACUAUCAACACAAAGAAGCUAGCUAUUUUGAUAUUAUAUACAAUCAAAGGUGUUAAGCUCCUCAGAUCAACUGGUGUUGUUGUUAUAUUUCUGGUUGCGUUGGUGAAAAUCUAUACUUAGCGAAUUGAGUUCUUGUUGGUGUGUGAAUUUGUAUCAUGGAUGUUGAAAAGAGAUGGGUUCGUAUGCCAAGAAAUUGUCCAGAAUAUAAGGAAGGAGUAGACCAGUUCAUAAAUUCUGCAUUUAAUGCCUCAGCUUUAAAUGGUAGGAUUAAAUGUCCAUGUAGGAGAUGUUCAGUUACUGUGUAUCUUGAUCCUAAAGAUGUUUGUGAGCAUUUAUUUUGUAAGGGUUUUGAUAGAAACUAUGCUAAUAGUGUAUGGGUUUUUCACGGGGAAGAACCUUCACCAUCAGGCUUAGAUGAUGAAUCUCAUAGUGAUGAGGAGUCAAAUCUUAGUAUUGAUGAUAUGCAUGGAUUACUUCAUGAUGCUUUUGGGUUUCCUAAUUUUUAUGAUAGCAUAGGUGAAUAUCCUGAACCUGGUGAGGGGGGCUGAAUUUAGAAGCUGAAAAGUUUCAAAAGCUUAUGGAAGAUGCUAAAACUGAAUUAUAUCCUGAAUGUGAUAAAUUUACUACUUUGUCAUUUAUUCUUCGACUUUAUCACAUGAAAUGUUUGCAUCGUUGGAGUGAUACAUGCUUGAAUGGGUAUGCUACAAUUCUUUAAUGAGCUUCUUCCUAAAGGUUCAAACUUUCCAAAGAAUCUUUGCCAAAUGAAAAAAGUCCUAGCAGACUUAGGUUUGGGAUACACUAAAAUUGAUGUAGGUCCAAAUGAUUGUAUGUUGUGUUUGAAAGAAAAGGUUAAUGAUGAAAUUUGUACUAUGUGUAAUGUUUCGAGAUGGAAAGAUCCUUCAAUUGGAAAGAAAAGUAGUCCAGCAAAGGUGCUACGUCAUUUCUCCCUCAUACCCCGCUUAAAGCGUCUUUUUAUGUCAUCUAAAACAUCCAAUUUAAUGAGAUGGCAUAAAAAGGGAAGUAGUCAGGAUGGGAAACAAAGGAAUCUGGUUGAUUCUUUAGCUUGGAAGAGUUUUGAUGAGAAAUAUCCUGAUUUUGCUCAAGAUGUUAGAAAUGUUAGACUUGGUUUGGCUAGUGAUGGUUUUAAUCCAUUUAGUAAUAUGAGCACUAAUCAUAGUACUUGGACUGUUAUAAUUAUGGUGUAUAAUUUGCCUCCGUGGCUUUGCAUGAAAUAUUCAUACUUUAUUAUGUCACU